This 860-nucleotide long non-coding RNA is filed under the name Parus major (Great Tit). Its description in RNAcentral is "lncRNA (ENSPMJG00000003023.1)". The record is from RNAcentral. Lineage: Eukaryota; Metazoa; Chordata; Aves; Passeriformes; Paridae.
AUUGGACACCACCAAGAGGGCUUGGGUUGUCAGUCCUUCCUGCUCUGACAAACUGCAGUGUGUGUGUGGCUCUGGGGACUUAUAAUUUCAUUCCAGAUUUCAUUUUCAGACACCUAUGCUGGAUGAAUCUCAGCCUGCAACUGGAACAUUUUGGAAAGCAAAUGUAGGAAGUGAGCACAGCAGACUGUGUGAGGAGCAGACAUUUAUAGGACAACCUUCCAUAAUCACCAGGCUUAUUUGUUGCACCUGUCUGUGUCUCCCUAACUCCAGAAAUUAGAGCUGAAAUCCCCGGCUACAUCUGCUUUGGCCAGAGAAGAGCCUCAGUCAAAGGCCACAUUGCUCCUGCUGAACUUGAGGGAUGCCAACAAUGGUGCCAGGUUUGCCACAUACUGAUAAUGACAGCCCUGCCUGGUGCCCAAAGCAGCCAGAGCACCCGGCCUCCUCUUCCUCUGCAAACCAACAUUUCCCUCGGCUGGGAGAGGUAAGAGCCAUCGGAGCUGGUGGCUGAAAAUCAGAGAAUGAAGUGCUGCACAGCGGGCCUGUGGGCUGGUGUGUGGUGGAGAAGAGGAAGUUCAGAACAUUAGGAAAUGUUUUAGAUACUUUUAAAAUUGUUAAAUGUAGCAUGUAUGCACUUCUUGUUUCCACACUGUCUCAGGUCCUGGCUGAGGUUGGGACAUCUCCCAGCACAUCUCUGCCUGAGCCUCCAGACAUCUGGGUGAGGCACAAGGGCAGCAGACAAAGACCAAAGGACUUUCUGAGCCUCAUGUUCGGAUGGAGGAGGUAACGAAAGGGAAGCUGUGACCUGGCCCUGAAUCAAAUACUUCACAACAGACAGCAUUAGAAAAUAAAAUAAAUUCCAG